CAUUAACCACUGUAGGUCACCGUACGGCGUCAACAAUGAACAAAGCCCAUACCGCAUAGUCAGCUACAAAAGGCCCCGAUAAUACAAUGUAAAACAAUGCAAACGAGAAAACUAUAACGGUCUUAUUUGUAUAAAAAAAAAAUGAACGAAAAACUAAUAUGUAACCCAUAAACAAACGACAACCACUGAAUUACAGGCUCCUGACUUGGGACAGGCACAUACACAAAUAAUGUGGCGGGGUUAAACAUGUUAGCGGGAUCCCCUAACCUGGGACAGUGGAAUAAAAGUACAACAUAAGAACG
Molecule: long non-coding RNA, 302 nt
Filed under: Mytilus galloprovincialis (Mediterranean mussel)
Lineage: Eukaryota; Metazoa; Mollusca; Bivalvia; Mytilida; Mytilidae
Source: RNAcentral